UACGUAGGGGGCAAGCGUUGUCCGGAAUCAUUGGGCGUAAAGAGCGUGUAGGCGGUCCGGUCAGUCGGUUGUGAAAGUCAAGGGCUCAACCCUUGAAUGCCGGCCGAUACUGCCGGGCUAGAGUCCGGAAGAGGUGAGUGGAAUUCCUGGUGUAGCGGUGAAAUGCGCAGAUAUCAGGAAGAACACCAAUGGCGAAGGCAGCUCUCUGGGACGGUACUGACGCUGAGACGCGAAAGCGUGGGGAGCGAACAGG
RNAcentral lists this ribosomal RNA (253 nucleotides) under uncultured bacterium. Its description in RNAcentral is "partial 16S ribosomal RNA". It matches the Rfam family "Bacterial small subunit ribosomal RNA", at positions 524 to 776 of the family's 1533-position model. The record is from RNAcentral.